This 927-nucleotide ribosomal RNA is filed under the name Latilactobacillus sakei. RNAcentral's name for it is "bacterial SSU rRNA". It matches the Rfam family "Bacterial small subunit ribosomal RNA", at positions 56 to 942 of the family's 1533-position model. The record is from RNAcentral. Lineage: Bacteria; Bacillati; Bacillota; Bacilli; Lactobacillales; Lactobacillaceae.
UGCAGUCGAACGCACUCUCGUUUAGAUUGAAGGAGCUUGCUCCUGAUUGAUAAACAUUUGAGUGAGUGGCGGACGGGUGAGUAACACGUGGGUAACCUGCCCUAAAGUGGGGGAUAACAUUUGGAAACAGAUGCUAAUACCGCAUAAAACCUAACACCGCAUGGUGUAGGGUUGAAAGAUGGUUUCGGCUAUCACUUUAGGAUGGACCCGCGGUGCAUUAGUUAGUUGGUGAGGUAAAGGCUCACCAAGACCGUGAUGCAUAGCCGACCUGAGAGGGUAAUCGGCCACACUGGGACUGAGACACGGCCCAGACUCCUACGGGAGGCAGCAGUAGGGAAUCUUCCACAAUGGACGAAAGUCUGAUGGAGCAACGCCGCGUGAGUGAAGAAGGUUUUCGGAUCGUAAAACUCUGUUGUUGGAGAAGAAUGUAUCUGAUAGUAACUGAUCAGGUAGUGACGGUAUCCAACCAGAAAGCCACGGCUAACUACGUGCCAGCAGCCGCGGUAAUACGUAGGUGGCAAGCGUUGUCCGGAUUUAUUGGGCGUAAAGCGAGCGCAGGCGGUUUCUUAAGUCUGAUGUGAAAGCCUUCGGCUCAACCGAAGAAGUGCAUCGGAAACUGGGAAACUUGAGUGCAGAAGAGGACAGUGGAACUCCAUGUGUAGCGGUGAAAUGCGUAGAUAUAUGGAAGAACACCAGUGGCGAAGGCGGCUGUCUGGUCUGUAACUGACGCUGAGGCUCGAAAGCAUGGGUAGCAAACAGGAUUAGAUACCCUGGUAGUCCAUGCCGUAAACGAUGAGUGCUAGGUGUUGGAGGGUUUCCGCCCUUCAGUGCCGCAGCUAACGCAUUAAGCACUCCGCCUGGGGAGUACGACCGCAAGGUUGAAACUCAAAGGAAUUGACGGGGGCCCGCACAAGCGGUGGAGCAUGU